CUUGAUGGAGCCCAGCCACAACGGCCGCUCCACGUCCCGCUGCUGCCCGUAGGUGGCGAGCAGCGCCUGCGCCUC
RNAcentral lists this antisense RNA (75 nucleotides) under Streptomyces melanosporofaciens. Its description in RNAcentral is "ASpks TB sRNA". It matches the Rfam family "ASpks TB sRNA". The record is from RNAcentral. Lineage: Bacteria; Bacillati; Actinomycetota; Actinomycetes; Kitasatosporales; Streptomycetaceae.